UACCAGCACCCCGAGUGGUCGGGACGAUUAUUGGGCCUAAAGCAUCCGUAGCCGGUUCUACAAGUCUUCCGUUAAAUCCACCUGCUUAACAGAUGGGCUGCGGAGGAUACUAUGGAGCUAGGAGGCGGGAGAGGCAAGCGGUACUUAGUGGGUAGGGGUAAAAUCCGUUGAUCCAUUGAAGACCACCAGUGGCGAAGGCGGCUUGCCAGAACGCACUCGACGGUGAGGGAUGAAAGCUGGGGGAGCAAACCG
RNAcentral lists this ribosomal RNA (252 nucleotides) under uncultured bacterium. RNAcentral describes it as "partial 16S ribosomal RNA". It matches the Rfam family "Archaeal small subunit ribosomal RNA", at positions 474 to 726 of the family's 1478-position model. The record is from RNAcentral.